Molecule: long non-coding RNA, 545 nt
Organism: Magallana angulata
Lineage: Eukaryota; Metazoa; Mollusca; Bivalvia; Ostreida; Ostreidae
Exons: 4
Source: RefSeq, a predicted model, not a curated record
AUUAGGACAAAAUGCAGAUUUGUCUACCUCUGUUAGUGAUAGUCAGUAUUCUGUAUGCAGUGUACGGAUGUGAUCCCCUCAUACAGAGUGACCAAUCGUUGUAUUGCGAUGCACAGUUUGUAUUUGUUGGAAUUGUUAAAUACGUAAUGGUGACAAGAGAUGAAGCGAUAGUUCGAAUUAGAGUGACGUCAAAUUUGAAAUAAGCAAGUACAGUACGCCAAACAGAAUGAUGCUAGGUACUUAUUAUGAGCCAACAACAGCUAAUCUGAAUAGAUUUAAGAAAUAUGACUGCUCCUGCAAGGUCGAGGUUAAUAUUCCGGAACAGCCUUUCUUUGGAGAACCUGCUCCCAUUGGAGACAAAUGCCUGAUCACUGAGCGUGAAUACAACUCAGUCAUUUUGACGAGGGCUACUGCGCCCGACGACAAUCCAACAGUUAUUGACCGAGGUCACCUUGUCUAUGGGUUGCUCCUACUACACCGUGUCCUCAAUAAUCAGACCGAUAAUAUCAGACUCGUAGAAUAUUAUUUCACACGAAUUAAAAGGA